Molecule: ribosomal RNA, 301 nt
Filed under: uncultured bacterium
Lineage: Bacteria
Description: partial 16S ribosomal RNA
Rfam family: Bacterial small subunit ribosomal RNA
Source: RNAcentral
CAGUCGCCGCGGUAAUACAGAGGGUGCGAGCGUUAAUCGGAUUUACUGGGCGUAAAGCGUGCGUAGGCGGCUAAUUGAGUCGGAUGUGAAAUCCCCGAGCUUAACUUGGGAAUUGCAUUCGAUACUGGUUAGCUAGAGUGUGGGAGAGGAUGGUAGAAUCCCAGGUGUAGCGGUGAAAUGCGUAGAGAUCUGGAGGAAUACCGAUGGCGAAGGCAGCCAUCUGGCCUAACACUGACGCUGAGGUACGAAAGCAUGGGUAGCAAACAGGAUUAGAUACCCCAGUAGUCCCUGUCUCUUAUAC